RNAcentral lists this unclassified non-coding RNA (305 nucleotides) under plant metagenome. Its description in RNAcentral is "partial contains 5.8S ribosomal RNA, internal transcribed spacer 2, and large subunit ribosomal RNA". The stretch from base 1 to 105 matches the Rfam family "5.8S ribosomal RNA", at positions 50 to 154 of the family's 154-position model. The record is from RNAcentral.
CAGAUGCGAUAAGUAAUGUGAAUUGCAGAAUUCAGUGAAUCAUCGAAUCUUUGAACGCACAUUGCGCCCGCCAGUAUUCUGGCGGGCAUGCCUGUUCGAGCGUCAUUUCAACCAUCAAGCCCCCGGCUUGUGUUGGGGACCUGCGGCUGCCCGCAGGCCCUGAAAAACAGUGGCGGGCUCGCUGUCACACCGAGCGUAGUAGCAUACAUUCUCGCUCAGGGCGUGCUGCGGGUUCCGGCCGUUAAACGACCUUCAUAACCCAAGGUUGACCUCGGAUCAGGUAGGAAGACCCGCUGAACUUAAGC